RNAcentral lists this ribosomal RNA (1490 nucleotides) under Brevibacterium sp. 399S4-2. RNAcentral's name for it is "bacterial SSU rRNA". It matches the Rfam family "Bacterial small subunit ribosomal RNA". Lineage: Bacteria; Bacillati; Actinomycetota; Actinomycetes; Micrococcales; Brevibacteriaceae. The record is from RNAcentral.
AGAGUUUGAUCCUGGCUCAGGACGAACGCUGGCUGCGUGCUUAACACAUGCAAGUCGAACGCUGAAGCCCCAGCUUGCUGGGGUGGAUGAGUGGCGAACGGGUGAGUAACACGUGAGUAACCUGCCCCUGACUUCGGGAUAAGCCCGGGAAACUGGGUCUAAUACCGGAUACGACUGCCGGACGCAUGUCUGGUGGUGGAAAGUUUUUUCGGUUGGGGAUGGGCUCGCGGCCUAUCAGUUUGUUGGUGAGGUAAUGGCUCACCAAGACGACGACGGGUAGCCGGCCUGAGAGGGCGACCGGCCACACUGGGACUGAGACACGGCCCAGACUCCUACGGGAGGCAGCAGUGGGGAAUAUUGCACAAUGGGGGAAACCCUGAUGCAGCGACGCAGCGUGCGGGAUGACGGCCUUCGGGUUGUAAACCGCUUUCAGCAGGGAAGAAGCCUGCGGGUGACGGUACCUGCAGAAGAAGUACCGGCUAACUACGUGCCAGCAGCCGCGGUAAUACGUAGGGUACGAGCGUUGUCCGGAAUUAUUGGGCGUAAAGAGCUCGUAGGUGGUUGGUCACGUCUGCUGUGGAAACGCAACGCUUAACGUUGCGCGUGCAGUGGGUACGGGCUGACUAGAGUGCAGUAGGGGAGUCUGGAAUUCCUGGUGUAGCGGUGAAAUGCGCAGAUAUCAGGAGGAACACCGGUGGCGAAGGCGGGACUCUGGGCUGUAACUGACACUGAGGAGCGAAAGCAUGGGGAGCGAACAGGAUUAGAUACCCUGGUAGUCCAUGCCGUAAACGUUGGGCACUAGGUGUGGGGGGCAUUCCACGUUCUCCGCACCGUAGCUAACGCAUUAAGUGCCCCACCUGGGGAGUACGGUCGCAAGGCUAAAACUCAAAGGAAUUGACGGGGGCCCGCACAAGCGGCGGAGCAUGCGGAUUAAUUCGAUGCAACGCGAAGAACCUUACCAAGGCUUGACAUACACUGAACCGGUCUGGAAACAGUCCUUCCCCUUUGGGGUUGGUGUACAGGUGGUGCAUGGUUGUCGUCAGCUCGUGUCGUGAGAUGUUGGGUUAAGUCCCGCAACGAGCGCAACCCUCGUUCUAUGUUGCCAGCACGUGAUGGUGGGAACUCAUAGGAGACUGCCGGGGUCAACUCGGAGGAAGGUGGGGAUGACGUCAAAUCAUCAUGCCCUUUAUGUCUUGGGCUUCACGCAUGCUACAAUGGCUGGUACAGAGAGAGGCGAACCCGUGAGGGCAAGCGAAUCCCUUAAAGCCAGUCUCAGUUCGGAUCGUAGUCUGCAAUUCGACUACGUGAAGUCGGAGUCGCUAGUAAUCGCAGAUCAGCAACGCUGCGGUGAAUACGUUCCCGGGCCUUGUACACACCGCCCGUCAAGUCACGAAAGUCGGUAACACCCGAAGCCGGUGGCCUAACCCCUUGUGGGAGGGGGCCGUCUAAGGUGGGACUGGUGAUUGGGAAUAAGUCGUAACAAGGUAACC